UAUUCUCAUUAGUUCGUGCCAGGGUAAUGAGUAAAAAAAAAAUUUUUUUUUUUGGCGCUAGAAUUUGUCAAUAAAAUAGGUAAAUUUAUCUUUAUUAAAAAUAUCGAUAUCGCAUUUUCAUCGUUUUAAAUUGGAUUUUUUCUCGUUUUGAUUCAUAUUUCUGAAUUUUUUUUUAUAUGAAACAGGAAUUUUACUGUGAUCUUAAUAACGGAACCAGAACGGAAUUUCGCUAAUUUUUUUUCCUGCCAGUCCGAAUCCGCCGUGGAGUUAAUCAUUCUCGGGUUAUUAAUGAUGGGAUUUGAUGCUUAUAAGCGGCUUAUCAUUAAUCAGGACGAGUCCGACAAUCAAAAAAAAUUUUUUUUUGUUCCUCCCCGUUAAAAGCCUGGAACGGCGUGGCUGAGAGGAAGGACGGAAUGUGCAAAAUUAUUUAUUUUCGGGCCGAAUAAUGCUUUGUUUGUUCUCCCUUUUUAUGUAAGCUUAGAGGUUUUUGUAUAACGUAGUUAUUUCCCAAAAGUAAUUAUCGCGGAAGAGCCUUAAUUACUGUUAUCGCGUGAUCGUUAACAUACGCUAACGCUCGGAAUUUGUUUAGGUUAGUUAGCCUCGAUGAGUUUUGUUGUUUCCUAUUCAUCAUCAUCAUCCUCUUUUUUAUCGAGUUGCGUUUUAAUUUGUGCGCCGCAAAAACACGCGAAUAUGGGGUGGAAAACGAUUAUGUAAUCAGUAGCGUAGGAAUCUAAUAUUUAUGAUGUUUAUUCUGUCUAAAUGCCAUCGAUUAAUUAAACGUAUAACGCUUGACGUCGCAUUCUCCGAGAGGAUUUUUUACCAAGUUUACACAGUUAUCAAAUAAAAAUUAUAUUUAUUUAACUUUUUCUGGAGGUUAAUGGAAUGGAUACAUUAAAACAGUGAAAAUGUAAUGGCAAUUUAAAAAAAAAAAAGCGAAUAUUUCGAGUGACAAUUUUCAGAGAAAAGGCGAAUAAAGCGUGUAAAUUAAAUUUAGCGAGGAGCGCGACAACUAAGUCAAAUUAUGGUAAUUGUUUCCUCGACCGAUUAAAAAGGAAACCGAUAGAAAUACCUUUUCGUUACAAACGUGUAACUGUCACAAUUUUGGGGUGUUCUUUGUAUGUCCGAUUUAAUUGAAGACGGACUGUUCGAUACCGAAAAUAGGUAGGCGAGCGAGUUUAGGGAAGGAAGAAUCGCUAUCAGUCUGGCUGCCAUCCAUUCCGGACCAAAAUAGCUUGGGCGUGCAGGCGGCGCAAUUAGCGCCGGGAGCUGGCAGGAUGUAAUUAUUCGUCCGAUGUGUUUCGAAUUUCAAUUUGGACAAAAGCGGCAGUAAUUACCGAACACAACCCCGACCGGUUUGGGUUCGCCGCCGCGUGAAAUAAGGACGGCAGUCGUAAAGCGGAGCGGAGGCAGUAAAAAGUCGGCAUCCCGUCGGCUUUACGAGCGCUCGGCCCGACCGUGACGUGAUCCGAAUCGACCGCAAUCUCUCUCUCCUUUUUUUUCCUGCCCUCCGACGGGCGCGCAGACUUUGGUAUGGAAGACACUUGUAACUCCGAGGAUGUCCGUCCGCUCCGCGCAGUUAAUACCUCCGUUAUUGCCCACCGGGAUUUAAGACUUCCAUGUUUUUCUGAUGACCGACGUCUGCCCAACAAAAAAGCUAUCACCGGAGCUUGAUUAAAACUCGGCAGUUGUCUUCCGUUUCCCUGGCAACCCCAUGGUUUCUGUUUGUCGACAUUACGGCUUUAUUAUUGAAGUAUAUGGCGUGUUACACGUUUCUCCAUCCGGACUCCGUGUCCUUUCCUAGAGCAUCGUCUGUUGUUUAACUUAAUUACGCGCCGCACGUUACGCUAAUUACCGGAAUUACUCCGUCGUUCGGCGUUUGUCCGUCCGUGACCAUUGACCGAGUCGAACCAGUGGAAAUUGUGCUAUCGGUCGUUAAUCGUUAAGAUAUCGAUUUUAACUCGGGCCAACACCUCGACUGAUUGCUAGAAAAUUAAAUUCCUUUCGGACACGCGUCACUCGGAUUCGGUGAUUACGGCCGUUAAUCGUUGCAAAAAUUUGUUACCCGAGACAAACGAAAAGGACGAGCGGGUAAUCCCUAAAAAUAACCCGAAAGACGAAAGUUCUUAUCGCGCACCGACUUUAAUAUCGAAUAGUAACGGAAAAUGCCAUCUGCUGCUAGUCUGUAUUGAUUUGUUAGCGGGAAUUCUGUCGAUAUUCCAAUCAUCGUUCGUACCGUUAAGCCUUUUCUAAGGGUAUCUGGGCCGAUUGUAAAACUAAAAAUAUUCUCCUAUUCUCGAUAAAGGGGAAGUAAAGUGAAAUGAAAAAAAAGCCGAUGGAGUAAAUGAAGUGAGAGCCAAAUCAACUUGGUUCUUCGCCCAGUUCUCCAAAGAAUAGUCGCUUAAUUGUGUCGGGGUAAUAAGGUGGACCUCCUCCUCUUAAUUAUCCUGCGCAGAUGUUCUCCAUUCUCUUUGGCCUAAUUUGAACUUUUUCCUCUCCUGGGCUUUCCAUCGCUUAGAUUUACGACUAGAGUCGACCCGCCUCUUACUUAUUUUUUCUCUCCCCUUCUAAAUAGAUCCAUCCAACUGCCAGUUGAAACGGAGCUGAUUCCGUGUCCGAUGCAUCUAAGUACAGAAUAAUGGAAAACGGAAUUAGAGCUAUAGUAAUUAUUGUGCAUGGCCUGCAGGUAUUAAUCUGGAUAUAUAUUGGGAUCCUUCUAGCGUAAUAUCCAUGCGAACGGCAUAAGUUGCUAUCUUUGGAAUCCAUCUGCAGUCCAUUUCGGUCGUUGGACGAUAUCAGAUGGCACCGUAUGCUAGGUUGGACUGAGUGAUGAUAUACGUCGGCUUUAGAAAUCGCUAAGGCGUGAAUAAUGAUGAUAGAGUGUCGGCAAUAGAGAAAUCGAGAGAGUUGGCCUCUUAUCUGUAACACUGCCGGAACUGUCUUGUUAAUUCUGGCAGUAAGAGAGAGCAGGGCGUUUGACAUCGAUGCCAUCGAUCGAACUGUACAGGUGGAAAAUGCACUCUUGACAUUCUAAGUCUCCAUGCAGAUUGGUAAAGGGUGUUCAUUCUGCUUCCAUAUCCCGGGGCCAUGUCGACAUAACGGCCGGAGGGGGAGAAUAGGGGAAAAAACCUUAUCGGGAGUGGGACAUUUGUAUUGUGUCUGCCGUUAUCUGCAGGUUCGUAUUCUCGUGCCUGCUGAAUGGACAGUAAGCGUGGUAGAUAACGAUGGUCGUUAGGCCGCGGGUGACUGGAUAUUCCAACCAACAUACAAAAGUGGAGAGAGAGAGAGAGUUACUGUUAUCCUCCCGCAGCUAUUGUAGUUCUGGUGGUUAUGAAACUCCCGUUAUAGUUUAUGGAGAUGACAGCGGCGUUUCGCCCGGUCCACCGGCUGUUGUCCAACUGGGCCAAUGUUAUUUUUGCUUCAAUCUUAUGGCUUAUAAAACCGUUGGUUUAUAUGUAGAAAUCUCGCCUUGUUGGCCGGCCUGUGCCGUUGCUGUUCCAAAAGGCAGAUUUAUAAUUAUACGUGCCGGUCGGUUGGCUGCGAUUUAUAGGACAGUCACCAAUAAAAUAAAAAAACCGACAAACAGUGGUCAUUACCAUAUAUUUAAGGCGGUAUCAUCGGUCAGAUUUCCACUUUCCGCAUAGAUACUUUAUCUUUAAUUUAAAAAUUCGACUUGGCAGAUUGGAAUCGAGUUGCCUAGCGUGAAAAUAACCGAGUUGGCACUUUUUACAGUACAGUGCCUUUGGUAAUGUUAAAAUAAGAGUUCGAGGAACAGCAUUUAAAAAAAUAUAAUGAUAAAUAGAACUAGUAGAGCGAAGGCAGAAAUAUCACCUUUGUUUUGUAUAUACUACGUGCAGUUGGGAUAAUUGCUAAUACACAAUAAAAUUGCCACUUUUCAUUGUAGGGAGUAAAAAUUCUUAACGAUGAAGACGGGCGGAUUGGUCCAAACAAAAGACAAUGUCAUUAACAGAUCGUUAGAUAGAACUUUUUUUCCUAAUCGCUUUACUACUCUGUUAUCUCUCUCGCACUCCUUAGGGUUUUUACAUUGUGUGUGAAUUGAAGGCAUUCCUCUUUAUCUCCAGAUGAUUCUAACACUUCUACAAGUAAUUAUUUAACAGAAACUGAAAAAACACUUCUCUUUCUGGAAGGUUAAGGUUAGUUUUCUCAUUCUUUUCGCAUUUUAAUAUAUUUUGCAUGGUAUUAAGGCGUCAGAGAAACCAUUAGUUAAAAAAAAGGUUCACGUUUUUUAUUCGUUAUCGUUCUGAUGAUCCAGGCCAAAAUUUAUUAUUUUCUUAUUUAAAUCUGUGAUUCCCCCGAAUGAUACUCCCGUUAAAAUUAUUUUCUGGAAAAAUGUGUCGUAUUUGUCCCGUAUUAAUUCGAAACACGACGAUGAUAUAAAAGCGACGGUUAAAUUUAUAACAGACUAAUAAAUUCAUCCGAGUGGGAUUUCCACCGUCUGUCUUACUUUAAAAAUAGCUCCGAAUGAAAUCAAAAUUAAUUAAUGCGAAAAAUCGAUAUCCGAGGGGAUUAAAUGAUAAAUCUUUCUCUCUUAUCUUAUUUAUGUUAAUUGUGCGUGUUUUAAGUUUGUUAAAUGUUGAUUUAGUAUCGAAAUCGGGACGAAAAUGGUUUUUUCUCCCUCCCCUUUUCUUCUUUCCCAGUCGUAUUACAUUUCUAUUCGAAUGGAGUAGGCGGAUGCCUAAUCAAUUUUGCACCAGGCAGACUUUGGCUGUACGCGCAAAACGAGAAAAACGCUGGACGGAAUAUCUAAAAUAUUGAAACGAGGUUAUAUACAAAAUUUAGCAUUGCAAAAAAAAAGAGACCGUUUUGAUGAAUGACAUAAGAAAUACCUGUUAUCGCCGAAGUUGCCGAUUUCGUUUAGAAUAUUUAUACUUGCAGUAAAAAUUCUAGCGUGGCAAAAAUAAUUGAUGAUAGCUUAACUUAGACACCGUUAUCAAUUAUUAUUUAACCGUUAAUGGUUUGUGUAGUGUGUGAUAUACUGUAAUAAAUUUUAUAUUUUCUGUUGUACAGCGUAAUUUUUGUAUAGUUGUGCC
This 5048-nucleotide long non-coding RNA is filed under the name Androctonus crassicauda. Lineage: Eukaryota; Metazoa; Arthropoda; Arachnida; Scorpiones; Buthidae. The record is from RNAcentral.